AGGUCCUUAUUUCCAUUUCUGGUGAGAAUGUACUGUUCUUUUCUCUUGCAGGGAGCCUGAAGAAUGUUCAGGGAGGCACCUUAUCCCGAAGUCUCUUCCGUGGAAAAUAAGGAACCGUGUUUUGACUCAAGGAGUGAAAGAAGCAAGUUUAUCUCCUUAGUUCAUUUGACAGAUGAAGAAAGAAGAAACUGA
RNAcentral lists this long non-coding RNA (192 nucleotides) under Monodelphis domestica (gray short-tailed opossum). RNAcentral's name for it is "lncRNA (ENSMODG00000038271.1)". Lineage: Eukaryota; Metazoa; Chordata; Mammalia; Didelphimorphia; Didelphidae. The record is from RNAcentral.